ACUACUAUUUUCCAAAAAAACCUCUGCUGUGUAGACACGCCCUGAGUGUGAACAUUCACAGCUGGAACAUUCAUUCAUUUUCUAAUGAGGUUUUAAACAUGAAAGCAAUAAUAUUCAUACCUCGUCUUGCAAUUGCAUCACCAGGAGCAUUGGUUCAAAUUGCAAAUGCUGAAAUAUCGGUAGCUGACAAUCUUAAAUGUGGGCAAAGCAAACCAUGGGAUGAAAUGGUGCCAGCCUGAAUGGUUUAUUCAUUUUCUGCUGGAGCUGCACGUCAGCUUUUCCUGCUCCUUAGCUGGCCACCUACUGCCAUUUCAAUUGCUCAUUCUGGUAAUUUUGCAGUACGUGAGAUGAGUGGGUCUGAAAGAGCACAGCAUUUUGUCAGGAUAUUAACCUCCAUUUCACACUGGUCAAUAUGCAGAGUCCAACUGUCCAGUCUUCUUGUAGGUUUACUUUCCUUAGCUACAUGGGAUUGCUCUGAUCCUCUUCCUAAUGGACUGCCAUCUGAUGCAGAAUGAGAAGAAAAUAUCUACACAUUGCUCAUGCAAAAUUGCUUCUAUGUGGUGGCGCUAGACUAACCCCUGGUUUCUGUUGUUGGAAGCUGAGAUGUCUGAAGUUGAGAUCCCUGCAGAGAAAUGAGUGUGAGAAAGAGGGUUAUAUAUUCAGCAGCUCAAUCCGAUUCUCAGAGGAAAGACUGGGAAAGUUCAGUGUAAUUAGCCUAUUUUUGCAUAAUAACUUUACAGACUUCUCUCUGGGUAGGUCCAUUAGAUAGGGACAAACUUGUGUAUUCUACCGUUGCCCAUAAACAUAGGCAGCAGUUUAAUGGUUAAUGGUUACAAAGAAACGGUAUCCAUUUUGAUCAGUACAUCAAAGUGAAAACUCCCAUGAAUCUCUUACUGUAAUGUACAUUUUAUAAUGACAGUUAACGCUGGCAUUUUCAAGGCUCAUGCUAGAAUUCUGAUGAAAAGUGAACGGAUAUUUGCCUCUUUCCGUGUCAGCACCCACUGUAUAGAAAAUAUCAGUAAACAAAAAUCCACCCCCUGAUUCCCUGCUCCCUUAACAGGAAAAUCCAAGCUUUCUGAUUCGAAUACAUAUUUAAUGUUCUGCACUCUCAUUCUCUCUGUGUGAUGUUAAGCUAGUAUGAAAGCACAAUGGGAGUAACCAUGGCGUCCACAGAGCCGGAUACACACGAGAGAGCUGCUGCUUGGAGGAGCUUUGGAACAGCCAGGCUUAAUGGAACACUGUAUUUUCAGUUUAAAUGGUAAUAAGCAGGUUACAAAGGCUGGUGCACAUCCUUUGAAGAAGUGGUAAACCAAUUAAGAAACGUGCAUUGCUCAAGGGUCCUGAGCAAGGGUUCUUAAACACUAAGCAGAAAAGGAGGCAUGAAAACAAAGUGUUUGUUUAACAGAAAAACUACAGAUUCAAAGAUGAAAUAGCAAGAAAAAAAUAAUAAAUCUUUUAUAGGCAUGGCUACAAGACUUGUCUUUCGCAAGAGCGCUAAGGUACAACUGACCUAGAAGUUAAAUCCUUCCAAUAACACAUCUGCAUCUGCACAUUCUCACCUUAUGUGCAUAAAGAAUUGAAUUGUGGACAUGUUUGUUCAGUCAGGAAUCGUACACAGCCCUUAACUCACCUAUAGGAGAAGAGGGUAAUAGUGCAUUAUCUCUUUGUUUAGUCAUGUAUCAUGUACAGUACUUUAGAUACUGAAUGACAUUCAAAUUUUGGGAGGCUUCUUCCCAUAGAAUUUAAAUAUUAAGAAGGAAAAGAGCAAAGUGAAAGACUGUAGAACCAAAAUUAAUUCUCUAUGCUGGUCAUUCCCUCCAUACUUAGCUACGCAAGCAAACCACUAUUUGUGCAACAUAAAUGAAACCAGUUGUCCUGAAAAGGCUGUAUAUACGAAGUUGCAUCUCCUUAAGCCAGGACUCUCUAGUCCAGCAACAUCCGUGGUCCAAUAGAACCACGGAUGUUCCCAGGUGAGAGCCCCGGUGGCUGGGAGUCAGGCAGUAGGAAGACCAUCAGCUGGGAGCCCUGGAGCCCAGCAGGGCGAGCAGCAGCCCAACAGGGAGGCCAGGCAACAGCAGCAUAAUGGGGGAGGGGGACCAGAGCCAUCACAGUCUGACAACUAGCAGAGCCUGGGCCAGCGGUAGGCUGCCCAGCCAAGGCUGGAAACAGAGCCUGUGGCAGGAUGGGGGGCCAGUGGCAAGGGACCUCCCCUGGUCUGGCAAAUUCCCUUCUUCAGGACCAGUUACGUCCCGAGGGUGCCAGACCAGGUAGGUCUAACCUAUAGUGAUCCUUUAAUUUAAAGCUAGCUUAGAAAGCAAAGAUGGACAAUGUGUACAACAAGCAUUAGCUAUGUUAAUCCACUCUUAAAAACACAGCUGUCCUUUGACAGGUAAAAUGCUCUUCCAUCUUGCAGAGUAAAUCAUACCAAAUCAUGGUUUAAUUAAGUCCUUUGAACUGUGCUAAGGAAUAAGACUUUGGAAACUUUACUUGUUCCCAUCUACACUGCAAGGUGAAAUAAUAUUACUACUUGAGUUGAGACCCCAGGAUUUGACUAUAUAGUGUAGCCAGGACAGAGUCUUUAAAUGCUAAAGUAAGUGUUCAAAUACCACUGUAAUGGGUACCAGGUACACUGAUUUCAGUACAAAUUUUUAGCUAGAGCUAGUUUGUCUUUCAUUUUGAAUACAAACACGCACACAGUACUAGAGUUAAGGGAAUUGUUAUCUGCCUUCCAAAUGAUGAAAAACAUAAUACAUCCUAGACAGAUUAGAAAACAAACAUUUAUUAUACACUGGUAGUUUUACAGAUCUAUAAAAGUGAUCAGCUUUUUCAAAUACACAAUAAAAAUACACAAUUUGAAGACAGAGGCACAUGGUGAAAGUUAAAACUCACAUAGUCUCAUGUUUUUCAGCAUUUGAAAGUCCCCCCACCAUAACUGAACACUCAUGAUAGCACUUUUACAAUAUUAACAAAUUGGACUGAGUUGGCUAUACUGCAGGCACUGCUUACAUCAUCUUGUGUAUCAGUUACAGUCACAAGGAUAACUGAGAAACAAAACUGGCUCUCGUGAAUUACCGUACAUGCAGGAACAAAGAAUAUGGCAAAGAUAAAAGAGCAUGGACAAUCAGAUCAUAAAAAUAUUGUAUCUAGGCACCACAAUACCUUGUGUGAUGCAAUCUACUUUGGCUUUUAAAAGAAGUGCACAAACAAGAGGGCAAGUUACUUUUAUCUUAAAGCCAGCUUGCCAUUUCAUAGUAUCACCAGAUUAACUCACAGGAUCAAUAAAAUCAAGAAUGAAAAGUAAGUGUGUGUCUGUGUGAGAGACAGAGACAGAGAGAGAGAAAUAAAAGGCCAAAUUCUGUAUGUUCUGUCUGCUAUGGAAUCAGUGCAAAUUAGUACUACUACAAGUUAUUUUGUGUCAGGUUUUAGGCCAGCAAGCAACUGAAAUAUAGCUUAGUGGGGAAACCAUUUAUGAAGUGUCUGUAUAUUACAAUAUCUAUCCAAUAUAUGGGAAAUACUGUGAAAUAAUGGCUU
Pelodiscus sinensis (Chinese soft-shelled turtle) is the source of this 3531-nucleotide non-coding RNA. Lineage: Eukaryota; Metazoa; Chordata; Testudines; Trionychidae. The record is from RefSeq and is a predicted model, not a curated record.